GAAAUGCGAUAAGUAGUGUGAAUUGCAGAAUUCAGUGAAUCAUCGAAUCUUUGAACGCACAUUGCGCCCUUUGGUAUUCCUUAGGGCAUGCCUGUUCGAGCGUCAUUUAAACCUUCAAGCUCAGCUUGGUGAUGGGUGACUGUCCUCCCCUCGCGGGGGGGACUCGCCUCAAAAACAUUGGCGGCCGGUACAUUGGCUUCGAGCGCAGCAGAAACGCGGUCUCGAGUCCGGUGGAUCGGCUCCCAUAAGCCUUCUUUUUUAUUUUGACCUCGGAUCAGGUAGGGAUACCCGCUGAACUUAAGC
Molecule: unclassified non-coding RNA, 303 nt
Filed under: plant metagenome
Description: partial contains 5.8S ribosomal RNA, internal transcribed spacer 2, and large subunit ribosomal RNA
Rfam family: 5.8S ribosomal RNA (bases 1-105)
Source: RNAcentral